Molecule: ribosomal RNA, 388 nt
Filed under: uncultured bacterium
Lineage: Bacteria
Description: bacterial SSU rRNA
Rfam family: Bacterial small subunit ribosomal RNA
Source: RNAcentral
AUUGAGCGCUGGCGGCAGGCCUAACACAUGCAAGUCGAGCGGUAGAGAGGUGCUUGCAUCUCUUGAGAGCGGCGGACGGGUGAGUAAUGCCUAGGAAUCUGCCUAGUGGUGGGGGAUAACGUUCGGAAACGGACGCUAAUACCGCAUACGUCCUACGGGAGAAAGCGGGGGAUCUUCGGACCUCGCGCCAUUAGAUGAGCCUAGGUCGGAUUAGCUAGUUGGUGAGGUAAUGGCUCACCAAGGCGACGAUCCGUAACUGGUCUGAGAGGAUGAUCAGUCACACUGGAACUGAGACACGGUCCAGACUCCUACGGGAGGCAGCAGUGGGGAAUAUUGGACAAUGGGCGAAAGGACCUGAUCCAGCCAUGCCGCGUGCAGGAUGAAGGCC